UUAUUUAUAUAGAUAACUAUAUAUACAUAUACAUAUAACUCAUGAGAGUGAGAUUCUUCUUUUUUUAAAAAAAAAUUUUAUUUGUUUUUGUUUUGUUUUGUUUUGCUUCAUUAAAAAUAAUAAGGCAGAUAAGACUACAAUGGGAUAUUCAGUCUGCAGACCUGCGCCUGUGGAUUCAUGAAGCUUUCUCGAUAGAUACCAUGAGUACCAAACCAUGAUUCAGCAUUUUACUGUAGAAGAAUACUUGAUUGUAGUUUCAUAACCACUGUACUUCAAGUGACAUUAAAGCACAAGAGUAAGCACUAAAAGCUGGGGUCCUCCUCCUGGGUAUUUUGAGGACUAACUAUUCAGCUAGAGACUGUGUUCCCUGUCAAGUGACAAUUAAUUCCACCGCCUGCUUAUUUUGAAGACUGGCCGCAAAGUCGAAUUCCUGCACUCUCCAUGGCUGCUCCUGCAGCAGCCACAGGGACAUGGUUCAGGAGGCUCCUCCCCAGUGCAGCUGGGUUGGCAUGAAUCCCUUGUGCCGAAUGUGAAUGAAGCACAGCAGCGAAGUAAAUGAAGAACACCCCAAAAAUCAUUUGAUAGGAAAGAGAAACUCACAAAACCUCCACAAAAUGGAUCAGUAAGUUUGAAAAUGAUGGCUCCAAGAACAUGCAAGGUGUCUUUCCACCUGCCAAUUAAGAAAGAUGAGGAAGUGAUUUAUUACUAAAGCUCCUAUACUGUAUGAGGACUUCUAGCCUCAAAGCUAGGGGCUGCUCAUGCCUCCCCCACCACCCC
This 777-nucleotide long non-coding RNA is filed under the name Anas platyrhynchos platyrhynchos (common mallard). RNAcentral describes it as "lncRNA (ENSAPLG00000020449.1)". Lineage: Eukaryota; Metazoa; Chordata; Aves; Anseriformes; Anatidae. The record is from RNAcentral.